AGUUCUUUCCUCUUCCUUGGAGAGAGCAUAUCGCCUUCAUCUCUUUCUGAGACUUUUCUGUUAAUUUGAGGACUUUUUUUUUGAAGGUCAGGCUCUGGAAUUUCAUGAUUUAGCAUUAAAAGCAAAAGGCAGGCCAGUGAAGCUCAAUUUUCAUGGUAGAAAUGGAAUCGGAACACAAAGGAAUCUCCUUAGUCAUACAGGGACCAUGAAGCACUCACCUUCCAUACUUGAUAUGCAAGAGAAAACUUGCCUGACAACCAAAACCACACGGAGAAAACUGAGCCAAGAGGUGGAGAAAGGCAAUUCCUGAAAACAUCUUGCUUUUCAAAUAUGUGAACCAAUAAAUUGCUUUGGGCACUUGAGCCAGGUUGGGUUGGGGUUUUGUCACUUAAAACUGAAAUAGUCCUCCCAUGAGCACAGACGCCAGAGGGUUAAAUGAAACAAUCUGGAGCUUGUGGGACUCAGCCUAGGAGGAAAAGGGGAUGGCUUAAAGGUGACCUCAAGAAUGUCAUCCAUCAGAGAUUUGAAGAAUAGUGGAUGCAGGCAUAGAAACAAGAGCACUGGAAGAAAUGAACUAGCUGGGGACCGUGGAGAAUCAAAUUCAGGACCUGUUGAGUUUGAAGUGAUGGUUGAUGGAAAUGUGAAGGAAAUCAAAACCCCAAAAUAUGCAGGCCUCUUCGACAUAAAAAUGAUUUUAAGCUGAAGGCAACUGAGAAGCAGCAAACUCAGAAAGAGCUCCUCCUUUUUGCCGAAAAGCAGGACAUAAAUUCUUUUACUGGAGACAAGUUCUCACAUCAGCCCAGAGAUGCAAUAGAAAAUCAGCACAAACUUUCCUCUGUUAGCUUCCUUCCUAGAUUUACCUUCCCUUGGGAGACUGAAACUGCUUUGUUCUGUUAUUUCUCUACAGGUGUACUGUUCUCUGUUGAAGACGCUCUAUCAGCUGGAAUUCUAAGCCACCAUUGUCAGCAGGGCCUUGGAGGCCAAGAGGUCUGGGUUUUAUUCUAAGUGCAACAACAGAAAGCCGCUAAAGGUGUUAAACAGCGGGUGACCAGCUGUGACUUGGGUUUUAUGAUCGUCCCAGCUGCUGGGUGGAGAACAGAAUGGAGCCGAUAAAGAACAAGAAACUGGGGAGCCAGUUAGGAGGCCGCUGCAGUGUAAGGCAGGCGGGGGCGGAUGUCAGAGCACGCUGUCUGCUGUAUUAUAAUGUACACGAGAGGGGAUUCCCCGGAGCAAAUUACCCUUUCCUCCCUUUCCAGCCAUCACUGUGCGUGAUUGAGAGUAAUCCCUGGAAACUGUUUACCUUCAUACCUCCCAUUUAUUACUUAGCACGCUGGAAGAGCUGGAGAACCACCUGGAUAAUUUUCCAAUGACAGUAAAAUAAAUUAUAAAGCUGAGAGAAAAAGCACAUUAGAAAGAAAGGGAGAAAUACAGCCACUGUCAGUCAAGACAUGUUUCCCAGCUCUCCCACUGUGAUACUUAAUACACAGAUUUUCCUAUUUUCCAGUGUGAGGCUGGCCCCAAUUCCUCUUCCAAGCUCAGGAAAAGCACAACAGUUUCCCUACAGGCUUUUCAUUUUACAAAGCUCCCUGGAAAAUACUGUCAAUGUGCUGCUAACACUGGGGUUUAAUAAUGAAGAGGAAAAAUGUUGCUCUUUAUACCCAUCACUCUUCCAAUACUCUGUUUCUCUUUAUUUUUCAUGUUUGCUGUGUCAUUCCUACUUAGCUUUGGCAAAUGAGAGCGAGGCAGCCUCCCGGGAAUUUAGUGUUCAGUGCCUAGUAUUCAAUGCUGGGCAGGGGAGUUGGCUGCCCAAGACGAGCAUCCUCUCUCAUCCUUCCCUCUCCAGCUGUCAUCCCGCAGUCCCUUGAUGGCAGUGCCGGAACCUAAGACCUGACUUCUUGGGUCCCACUAAUGACUAUAUAGGAAUAAAUAAUUUAGAUUGUUAAUGAAGGUUUGUUAUUUCCCAAUGAGACCAACUUUCUAACAUCCCUAGGCUUCAGAGAGUGUGCCUUUUUAAAAUACUGCCAUUUGCAGCAAUGGACUUGGAGAUCAUCAUACUAAGUGAAGUAAGCCAGAAAGAGAAAGAAAAAUACCAUAUGAUGUCAUUUAUACGUGGAAUCCAAAAAAAAAGAAAAAGAAGGUGGGGGGCACAAAUGCACUUAUUCACAGAACAGAGACAGACUCUCAGACACAGAAAACAAACUUAUGGUUACCAGGGGAAAAAGCGGGUGGGGAGGUGGGGAGGGAUAGAUUGGGAGCUUGGGAUUGGCAGAUGCUAAUUACUGUAUGUAAAAUAGAUAAAACACAAGGUUAAAAACAAAACAAAACAAAACAAAA
Vicugna pacos (alpaca) is the source of this 2334-nucleotide non-coding RNA. NCBI's taxonomy places the organism in Eukaryota, Metazoa, Chordata, Mammalia, Artiodactyla, Camelidae. The record is from RefSeq and is a predicted model, not a curated record.